CGCGUAGGCGGCUGUUCAAGUCAGUAGUGGAAGUCCAGCUUUUAAGGUUGGAAGUGCUAUUGAAACUGAGCAGCUUGAGUGCAGGAGAGGUUAUCGGAAUUCCCGGUGUAGCGGUGAAAUGCGUAGAGAUCGGGAGGAACACCAGUGGCGAAGGCGGGUAACUGGACUGCAACUGACGCUGAGGCGCGAAAGUGUGGGGAGCAAACA
This 207-nucleotide ribosomal RNA is filed under the name uncultured bacterium. Its description in RNAcentral is "partial 16S ribosomal RNA". It matches the Rfam family "Bacterial small subunit ribosomal RNA", at positions 568 to 774 of the family's 1533-position model. The record is from RNAcentral.